GGGGUUGUUACGGAUUCGACAGGCGUAGAUUGAGCUUGGGUUGCGUUCCGCAGGUGACGAGACUGCGUAUCAACGUCACAGUUAAAUAUAACUGCAAACAAUAAUAACAAUAACUACGCUUUAGCUGCGUAAUAACAGCUUAGCGUGAUCCGACCGGCAUCGCCCAUGUGCUCGGUAUCGGGUCCUAUAAUAAGUGGGAUACGCUUAGUCUUUCCGUCUGUAAGACUAAGAAGAGAUCAUCAGACUAGCAACGCAUGAUGCCCGUUUUACGGCUGAUGCUGAGCGAAACUUUAAAUAGUAAAACUAUGAACGUAGAUACUUGAGUGUCGAUAUGUCUGGACAGGGGUUCGACUCCCCUCAACUCCAUAC
This 369-nucleotide transfer-messenger RNA is filed under the name Alkalibacterium sp. It matches the Rfam family "transfer-messenger RNA". Rfam says of the family: Bacterial tmRNA, also known as 10Sa RNA or SsrA, is named for its dual tRNA and mRNA-like properties. Lineage: Bacteria; Bacillati; Bacillota; Bacilli; Lactobacillales; Carnobacteriaceae. The record is from RNAcentral.